This is a small nuclear RNA of Molossus molossus (Pallas's mastiff bat), 106 nucleotides long. NCBI's taxonomy places the organism in Eukaryota, Metazoa, Chordata, Mammalia, Chiroptera, Molossidae. The record is from RefSeq and is a predicted model, not a curated record.
AUACUCACUUUGGCGGUACAUAUACUAAAAUCGGAAUGAUACAGAGAAGAUUAGCAUGACCCUGGGCAAGGAUGACACGAAAAUUCAUGGAGCAUUCAUAUUUUUG